AGAGUUUGAUCCUGGCUCAGGAUGAACGCUGGCGGCGUGCUUAACACAUGCAAGUCGAACGGAGUGCCCAUGACAGAGGAUUCGUCCAAUGGAUUGGGUUACUUAGUGGCGGACGGGUGAGUAACGCGUGAGGAACCUGCCUCGGAGUGGGGAAUAACACAACGAAAGCUGUGCUAAUACCGCAUGAUACAGUUGGGUCGCAUGACUCUGACUGUCAAAGAUUUAUCGCUCUGAGAUGGCCUCGCGUCUGAUUAGCUGGUUGGCGGGGUAACGGCCCACCAAGGCGACGAUCAGUAGCCGGACUGAGAGGUUGACCGGCCACAUUGGGACUGAGACACGGCCCAGACUCCUACGGGAGGCAGCAGUGGGGAAUAUUGGGCAAUGGGCGCAAGCCUGACCCAGCAACGCCGCGUGAAGGAAGAAGGCUUUCGGGUUGUAAACUUCUUUUCUCAGGGACGAAGCAAGUGACGGUACCUGAGGAAUAAGCCACGGCUAACUACGUGCCAGCAGCCGCGGU
This 517-nucleotide ribosomal RNA is filed under the name uncultured Gram-positive bacterium. Its description in RNAcentral is "bacterial SSU rRNA". It matches the Rfam family "Bacterial small subunit ribosomal RNA", at positions 8 to 521 of the family's 1533-position model. The record is from RNAcentral.